RNAcentral lists this ribosomal RNA (494 nucleotides) under uncultured bacterium. RNAcentral describes it as "partial 16S ribosomal RNA". It matches the Rfam family "Bacterial small subunit ribosomal RNA", at positions 31 to 507 of the family's 1533-position model. The record is from RNAcentral.
GAACGCUGGCGGCGUGCCUAAUACAUGCAAGUCGAGCGAACAGACGAGGAGCUUGCUCCUCUGACGUUAGCGGCGGACGGGUGAGUAACACGUGGAUAACCUACCUAUAAGACUGGGAUAACUUCGGGAAACCGGAGCUAAUACCGGAUAAUAUAUUGAACCGCAUGGUUCAAUAGUGAAAGACGGUUUUGCUGUCACUUAUAGAUGGAUCCGCGCCGCAUUAGCUAGUUGGUAAGGUAACGGCUUACCAAGUCAACGAUGCGUAGCCGACCUGAGAGGGUGAUCGGCCACACUGGAACUGAGACACGGUCCAGACUCCUACGGGAGGCAGCAGUAGGGAAUCUUCCGCAAUGGGCGAAAGCCUGACGGAGCAACGCCGCGUGAGUGAUGAAGGUCUUCGGAUCGUAAAACUCUGUUAUUAGGGAAGAACAAAUGUGUAAGUAACUAUGCACGUCUUGACGGUACCUAAUCAGAAAGCCACGGCUAACUACGUG